Molecule: long non-coding RNA, 292 nt
Organism: Drosophila gunungcola (fruit fly)
Lineage: Eukaryota; Metazoa; Arthropoda; Insecta; Diptera; Drosophilidae
Exons: 3
Source: RefSeq, a predicted model, not a curated record
UUGCAACUGUCACAUCUGUUAUUGUUUACUACGUGCAUUUUGUUUAAAGUAUAAUUGUCAAAAGCGUUACCGCUCAUUAAUCUGUUUAUGAUUUUUAUACCCGAAGGACUGAGGUUGCAGUUCAAGUUGUUAAACCAAGCUGUGGCAUCUUUUAUGCUCCAUCCCACUACAGUGAAGAUACCGUGUGAAGGAGCGUUUUUGGCAGCCAAGUCCACGAAAUCGUUUUGGGGUAUGCCAGAGUGGCUGGCUUAUGUAGUUGUCGUGACUGGACUUAAGAAUUGCAAUUGCGCUG